This 495-nucleotide ribosomal RNA is filed under the name uncultured bacterium. Its description in RNAcentral is "partial 16S ribosomal RNA". It matches the Rfam family "Bacterial small subunit ribosomal RNA", at positions 30 to 507 of the family's 1533-position model. The record is from RNAcentral.
UGAACGCUGGCGGCGUGCCUAAUACAUGCAAGUCGAGCGAACGGACGAGAAGCUUGCUCCUCUGAUGUUAGCGGCGGACGGGUGAGUAACACGUGGAUAACCUACCUAUAAGACUGGGAUAACUUCGGGAAACCGGAGCUAAUACCGGAUAAUAUUUUGAACCGCAUGGUUCAAAAGUGAAAGACGGUCUUGCUGUCACUUAUAGAUGGAUCCGCGCUGCAUUAGCUAGUUGGUAAGGUAACGGCUUACCAAGGCAACGAUGCAUAGCCGACCUGAGAGGGUGAUCGGCCACACUGGAACUGAGACACGGUCCAGACUCCUACGGGAGGCAGCAGUAGGGAAUCUUCCGCAAUGGGCGAAAGCCUGACGGAGCAACGCCGCGUGAGUGAUGAAGGUCUUCGGAUCGUAAAACUCUGUUAUUAGGGAAGAACAUGUGUGUAAGUAACUGUGCACAUCUUGACGGUACCUAAUCAAAAAGCCACGGCUAACUACGUG